Molecule: transfer RNA, 63 nt
Filed under: Stereum hirsutum FP-91666 SS1
Lineage: Eukaryota; Fungi; Basidiomycota; Agaricomycetes; Russulales; Stereaceae
Description: tRNA-Gln (CTG) (tRNA-Gln-CTG-10-1)
Rfam family: tRNA
About the family: Transfer RNA (tRNA) molecules are approximately 80 nucleotides in length.
Source: RNAcentral
AGCUCGAUAGCGCAACGGUAGCGCGUCACUGUGAAGAUCUCGGUUCGACUCCGAGUUGAGCUA